ACGUAGGUGACGAGCGUUGUCCGGAGUUACUGGGCGUAAAGGGCGCGCAGGCGGCCUCCCGCGUGAGUGGUGAAAGCUCCCGGCUUAACUGGGAGAGGUCCAUUCAGACGGGGAGGCUUGAGCGUCGGAGAGGGGCAUGGAAUUCCGGGUGGAGCGGUGAAAUGCGUAGAGAUCCGGAGGAACACCAAUGGCGAAGGCAGUGCCCUGGCCGACGGCUGACGCUCAGGCGCGAAAGCGUGGGGAGCAAACAGGA
Molecule: ribosomal RNA, 253 nt
Filed under: uncultured prokaryote
Description: partial 16S ribosomal RNA
Rfam family: Bacterial small subunit ribosomal RNA
Source: RNAcentral